GUUGGGUAGGGGAGCGUUCUGUAAGCCUGCGAAGGUGGCCUGUGAGGGUUGCUGGAGGUAUCAGAAGUGCGAAUGCUGACAUAAGUAACGAUAAAGCGGGUGAAAAGCCCGCUCGCCGGAAGACCAAGGGUUCCUGUCCAACGUUAAUCGGGGCAGGGUGAGUCGACCCCUAAGGCGAGGCCGAAAGGCGUAGUCGAUGGGAAACGGGUUAAUAUUCCCGUACUUGGUGUUACUGCGAAGGGGGGACGGAGAAGGCUAUGUUGGCCGGGCGACGGUUGUCCCGGUUUAAGCGUGUAGGUGUGUGUUCCAGGUAAAUCCGGUUCACUUUAACACUGAGGCGUGACGACGAGGCACUACGGUGCUGAAGCAACAAAUGCCCUGCUUCCAGGAAAAGCCUCUAAGCAUCAGGUAACAUCAAAUCGUACCCCAAACCGACACAGGUGGUCAGGUAGAGAAUACCAAGGCGCUUGAGAGAACUCGGGUGAAGGAACUAGGCAAAAUGGUGCCGUAACUUCGGGAGAAGGCACGCUGACACGUAGGUGAAGUGAUUUACUCAUGGAGCUGAAGUCAGUCGAAGAUACCAGCUGGCUGCAACUGUUUAUUAAAAACACAGCACUGUGCAAACACGAAAGUGGACGUAUACGGUGUGACGCCUGCCCGGUGCCGGAAGGUUAAUUGAUGGGGUCAGCGCAAGCGAAGCUCCUGAUCGAAGCCCCGGUAAACGGCGGCCGUAACUAUAACGGUCCUAAGGUAGCGAAAUUCCUUGUCGGGUAAGUUCCGACCUGCACGAAUGGCGUAAUGAUGGCCAGGCUGUCUCCACCCGAGACUCAGUGAAAUUGAACUCGCUGUGAAGAUGCAGUGUACCCGCGGCAAGACGGAAAGACCCCGUGAACCUUUACUAUAGCUUGACACUGAACAUUGAGCCUUGAUGUGUAGGAUAGGUGGGAGGCUUUGAAGUGUGGACGCCAGUCUGCAUGGAGCCGACCUUGAAAUACCACCCUUUAAUGUUUGAUGUUCUAACGUGGACCCGUGAUCCGGGUUGCGGACAGUGUCUGGUGGGUAGUUUGACUGGGGCGGUCUCCUCCUAAAGAGUAACGGAGGAGCACGAAGGUUGGCUAAUCCUGGUCGGACAUCAGGAGGUUAGUGCAAUGGCAUAAGCCAGCUUGACUGCGAGCGUGACGGCGCGAGCAGGUGCGAAAGCAGGUCAUAGUGAUCCGGUGGUUCUGAAUGGAAGGGCCAUCGCUCAACGGAUAAAAGGUACUCCGGGGAUAACAGGCUGAUACCGCCCAAGAGUUCAUAUCGACGGCGGUGUUUGGCACCUCGAUGUCGGCUCAUCACAUCCUGGGGCUGAAGUAGGUCCCAAGGGUAUGGCUGUUCGCCAUUUAAAGUGGUACGCGAGCUGGGUUUAGAACGUCGUGAGACAGUUCGGUCCCUAUCUGCCGUGGGCGCUGGAGAACUGAGGGGGGCUGCUCCUAGUACGAGAGGACCGGAGUGGACGCAUCACUGGUGUUCGGGUUGUCAUGCCAAUGGCACUGCCCGGUAGCUAAAUGCGGAAGAGAUAAGUGCUGAAAGCAUCUAAGCACGAAACUUGCCCCGAGAUGAGUUCUCCCUGAGACU
RNAcentral lists this ribosomal RNA (1617 nucleotides) under Salmonella enterica. Its description in RNAcentral is "partial 23S ribosomal RNA". It matches the Rfam family "Bacterial large subunit ribosomal RNA", at positions 1223 to 2822 of the family's 2925-position model. Lineage: Bacteria; Pseudomonadati; Pseudomonadota; Gammaproteobacteria; Enterobacterales; Enterobacteriaceae. The record is from RNAcentral.